UUAUGUCUUAGUUCUUUCAUUCAAAAUAUGUUAUUUGACCAUCAAAACAUUUAAACACUUCAAGAAAGUUCUUAUUUCAAAACAUUUGAAGUUCAUGCAAAAUACUCUCUUUUUAAUACUUUGAGAUACGGUGGUCAUCUCUUUCAUCAAUCGCAUAUAAUUCUUUAUUAGGAAUAUGAGAAUUUACAAAUCAAAGAAACACCCUCUCAUUUAGUCAUAAAAAUAGUACAAUUCAUAAUUGACAGUAAACCUUCAAACUCAAGCUUUUAACCAUCCGUUUAAUCAACCCAUAACAUGUAAAAACAUUGGGUUUUGUAACAAGAGAGAAAAUUCCAUCAAUCAUGCUUUCGUAUAACUUCUCAAACUCAUAAC
RNAcentral lists this long non-coding RNA (372 nucleotides) under Capsicum annuum. RNAcentral's name for it is "long non-coding RNA (CANN_LNC000578)". The record is from RNAcentral. Lineage: Eukaryota; Viridiplantae; Streptophyta; Magnoliopsida; Solanales; Solanaceae.